This 592-nucleotide ribosomal RNA is filed under the name uncultured delta proteobacterium. RNAcentral describes it as "bacterial SSU rRNA". It matches the Rfam family "Bacterial small subunit ribosomal RNA", at positions 336 to 918 of the family's 1533-position model. The record is from RNAcentral. Lineage: Bacteria; Deltaproteobacteria.
UUCCUACGGGAGGCAGCAGUGGGGAAUAUUGCGCAAUGGGGGAAACCCUGACGCAGCGACGCCGUGUGAGUGAUGAAGGUUUUCGGAUCGUAAAGCUCUGUCAGGUGGGAAGAAUAAGGUCUGUGAAAAUAUUGCAGUCCGAUGACGGUACCACCAGAGGAAGCACCGGCUAACUCCGUGCCAGCAGCCGCGGUAAUACGGAGGGUGCAAGCGUUGUUCGGAAUUAUUGGGCGUAAAGGGCGUGCAGGCGGGUAUGCAGGUCAGGUGUGAAAUCCCUCGGCUCAACCGAGGAAGUGCAUCUGAAACCGUGUAUCUUGAGUACGUGAGAGGCAGAUGGAAUUCCCAGUGUAGAGGUGAAAUUCAUAGAUAUUGGGAAGAACACCGGUGGCGAAAGCGGUCUGCUGGCACGAUACUGACGCUGAGACGCGAAAGCGUGGGGAGCAAACAGGAUUAGAUACCCUGGUAGUCCACGCCGUAAACGAUGUGCACUAGGUGUUGGGGGUAAUUAAACCUUCAGUGCCGCAGCUAACGCAUUAAGUGCACCGCCUGGGGAUUACGGUCGCAAGACUAAAACUCAAAGGAAUUGACGGAA